RNAcentral lists this ribosomal RNA (393 nucleotides) under uncultured bacterium. RNAcentral's name for it is "partial 16S ribosomal RNA". It matches the Rfam family "Bacterial small subunit ribosomal RNA", at positions 523 to 918 of the family's 1533-position model. The record is from RNAcentral.
AUACGGAGGGUGCAAGCGUUAUCCGGAUUUAUUGGGUUUAAAGGGUGCGUAGGCGGUUUGAUAAGUCAGCGGUGAAAUAUUUCAGCUUAACUGGAAGGGUGCCGUUGAUACUGUCGAGCUUGAAUUUAGUUGCUGUGGGUGGAAUGUGUGGUGUAGCGGUGAAAUGCAUAGAUAUCACACAGAAUAUCGAUUGCGAAGGCAGCUCACAAAGCUAAUAUUGACACUGAUGCACGAAAGUGUGGGGAUCAAACAGGAUUAGAUACCCUGGUAGUCCACACUGUAAACGAUGAUAACUCGCUGUCGGCGAUACAUAGUCGGUGGCCAAGCGAAAGCGAUAAGUUAUCCACCUGGGGAGUACGACCGCAAGGUUGAAACUCAAAUGAAUUGGCGGGG